GACGAACGCUGGCGGCGCGCCUAACACAUGCCAGUCGAACGAGCGAGAGAGAGCUUGCUUUCUCGAGCGAGUGGCGAACGGGUGAGUAACGCGUGAGGAACCUGCCUCAAAGAGGGGGACAACAGUUGGAAACGACUGCUAAUACCGCAUAAGCCCACGACCCGGCAUCGGGUAGAGGGAAAAGGAGCAAUCCGCUUUGAGAUGGCCUCGCGUCCGAUUAGCUAGUUGGUGAGGUAACGGCCCACCAAGGCGACGAUCGGUAGCCGGACUGAGAGGUUGAACGGCGACAGGGGGGCGGCGCCACGGCGAAGACGAGGAGGGGGGGCAGCUGGGGGGAAUAGCGAAGCAUGGGGGACGCCCAGAGGCGGCGACGCGGGGGGGAGGAAGAGGGUCGUCGGAUUGUAACGUCCUGGUGGUGAGGAAGAUAAUGACGGUACAAAAAAAGGAAGUGGCGGCCAACGACGGCCCAGCAGCCGCGGUAAGACGCGGAAGAGAACACGUCCGAAC
RNAcentral lists this ribosomal RNA (507 nucleotides) under uncultured bacterium. RNAcentral's name for it is "partial 16S ribosomal RNA". It matches the Rfam family "Bacterial small subunit ribosomal RNA", at positions 36 to 538 of the family's 1533-position model. The record is from RNAcentral.